Molecule: ribosomal RNA, 477 nt
Filed under: uncultured bacterium
Lineage: Bacteria
Description: bacterial SSU rRNA
Rfam family: Bacterial small subunit ribosomal RNA
Source: RNAcentral
GAUGAACGCUAGCUACAGGCUUAACACAUGCAAGUCGAGCGGUUUGUGCUUUUGCACAUUCAGCGGCAGACGGGUGAGUAACACGUAUCUAACCUUCCCCUUACUUGGGCAUAGCCUCUGGAAACGGAGAUUAAUUUCCGAUGUGGUGUACAUUUCGCAUGUUUUGCGCACCAAAGAUUUAUCGGUAAGGGAUGGGGAUGCGCUCCAUUAGGUAGUAGGUAGGGUAAUGGCCUACCUAGCCUAUGAUGGAUAGGGGUUCUGAGAGGAAGGUCCUCCACAUUGGAACUGCGACACGGUCCAAACUCCUACGGGAGGCAGCAGUGAGGAAUAUUGGUCAAUGGCCGGAAGGCUGAACCAGCCAAGUAGCGUGCAGGAAGACGGCCCUAUGGGUUGUAAACUGCUUUUCCAGGGAGAGAAACUUACGCACGUGUUGCGUGACUGACGGUACCCUGGGAAUAAGCAUCGGCUAACUCCGUG